RNAcentral lists this ribosomal RNA (647 nucleotides) under Scaptodrosophila latifasciaeformis. RNAcentral describes it as "partial 16S ribosomal RNA". The record is from RNAcentral. Lineage: Eukaryota; Metazoa; Arthropoda; Insecta; Diptera; Drosophilidae.
UUAAUUUAUAUUUAUUAAUUAAUUAUGUUUUUAUUUAAAUUAUUAAAAAUAAUUAUAUAGAAAAGAGUUUUAGUAUUGUUUAAAGAAAAAAUAAUAUUAAUUAUAGUUUAAUAGUAUUGUAAAAGAAAAUUGAAAUAAUUUGAAAAAUUUUUAUUAUAAAAGAAAAUUUAAUUUAUUGUACCUUGUGUAUCAGUGUUUAUUAAAUAAAAAAUAUUUAUUUAUAUUUUUCUCGAUUUUAAAAGAGUUAAUAUUAUAUUAAAGUUAAUGUGAUAAAAUUAUUUUAAAUAUAAUAUUAGAAAUGAAAUGUUAUUCGUUUUUAAAGGUAUCUAGUUUUUCAAGAAAUAAAUUUAAUUUAUAAAUUAUAAAUAUAUUUUUAUUUUUUAUUUAUAAAAAUAUUUUAUAAUUUAAAUAUUUUGCGGGAUAAGCUGUAAAAUAAAAAGUUAAAAAUAAUAAAUAAAUUUAAUAAAUAUAUGCUUAUAAAUAGCAAAUAUUAAAAAGUUUGUUAUAAUUUAUUUUAUUCUAUAUAUUAUUUAUUAUAUUUUAAUUAUUUAUUGAAAUAUAAAUUUUAAUUUUAAAAAUUUAGUAAUAAUGAUAAAAUUAGUAUAAUUUAAUGUUUAUAAAAAUUUAAUUGAAAAGUUUUAUUAAAG